CCUACGGGAGGCAGCAGUGAGGAAUAUUGGUCAAUGGACGAGAGUCUGAACCAGCCAAGUAGCGUGAAGGAUGACUGCCCUAUGGGUUGUAAACUUCUUUUAUAAAGGAAUAAAACGAGGCACGUGUGCCUUUUUGCAUGUACUUUAUGAAUAAGGAUCGGCUAACUCCGUGCCAGCAGCCGCGGUAAUACGGAGGAUCCGAGCGUUAUCCGGAUUUAUUGGGUUUAAAGGGAGCGUAGAUGGGUUGUUAAGUCAGUUGUGAAAGUUUGCGGCUCAACCGUAAAAUUGCAAUUGAUACUGGCAGUCGUGAGUACAGUUGAGGUAAGCGGAAUUCGUGGUGUAGCGGUGAAAUGCGUAGAUAUCACGAAGAACCCCGAUUGCGAAGGCAGCUUACUAAACUGUGACUGACAUUGAUGCUCGAAAGUGUGGGUAUCAAACAGGAUUAGAUACCCGGGUAGUC
RNAcentral lists this ribosomal RNA (460 nucleotides) under uncultured bacterium. Its description in RNAcentral is "partial 16S ribosomal RNA". It matches the Rfam family "Bacterial small subunit ribosomal RNA", at positions 338 to 795 of the family's 1533-position model. The record is from RNAcentral.